AUCUUUUUAGUAUAAUUUAAUUAUGUUUGACUUCCAAUCAAAAGAUCUUAAUUAAGAAAAGAUA
RNAcentral lists this transfer RNA (64 nucleotides) under Poecilocoris druraei. Its description in RNAcentral is "tRNA-Gly". It matches the Rfam family "tRNA". From Rfam's summary of the family: Transfer RNA (tRNA) molecules are approximately 80 nucleotides in length. Their secondary structure includes four short double-helical elements and three loops (D, anti-codon, and T loops). The record is from RNAcentral. Lineage: Eukaryota; Metazoa; Arthropoda; Insecta; Hemiptera; Scutelleridae.